GGAGGGUGCGAGCGUUAAUCGGAAUUACUGGGCGUAAAGCGCGCGUAGGCGGCGUGAUCAGUCGGACGUGAAAGCCCCGGGCUUAACCUGGGAAUUGCACUCGAUACUGUCAGGCUAGAGUAUGGGAGAGGGAAGUGGAAUUUCCGGUGUAGCGGUGAAAUGCGUAGAUAUCGGAAGGAACACCAGUGGCGAAGGCGACUUCCUGGCCCAAUACUGACGCUCAGGUGCGAAAGCGUGGGUAGCGAACAGGGAUUAGAUACCCUGGUAGUCCACGCCGUAAACGAUGAGAACUAGAUGUCGGGAGGAUUUACCUCUCGGUGUCGCAGCUAACGCGUUAAGUUCUCCGCCUGGGGAGUACGCCGGCAACGGUA
RNAcentral lists this ribosomal RNA (371 nucleotides) under uncultured organism. RNAcentral's name for it is "partial 16S ribosomal RNA". It matches the Rfam family "Bacterial small subunit ribosomal RNA", at positions 527 to 896 of the family's 1533-position model. The record is from RNAcentral.